CUGGAUCUGGCUGUGGCAAAGAUGAAAGCACAUUUUCAUUGCCAUUCAAAGUCAAACACUGAAAGCAAAUCAAACAUAAGAUAAAGAAAUACAGUCCUUGCACAACUCCCUGAACAGAACACUUUAAGGGAAGAAGGACACAGUUGGACCUACAAUUUGAUCGUGACUGAAUGACUUAAAAAGAACAAGUUUAAAAUGACCAAAUGUUUGUGCAAGGGGCAAGCAGCCAAUCAGCCAUAAAUUC
RNAcentral lists this long non-coding RNA (244 nucleotides) under Struthio camelus australis. RNAcentral's name for it is "lncRNA (ENSSCUG00000015518.1)". Lineage: Eukaryota; Metazoa; Chordata; Aves; Struthioniformes; Struthionidae. The record is from RNAcentral.